AUUGAACGCUGGCGGCAGGCCUAACACAUGCAAGUCGAGCGGAUGAAGGGAGCUUGCUCCUGGAUUCAGCGGCGGACGGGUGAGUAAUGCCUAGGAAUCUGCCUGGUAGUGGGGGAUAACGUCCGGAAACGGGCGCUAAUACCGCAUACGUCCUGAGGGAGAAAGUGGGUGAUCUUCGGACCUCACGCUAUCAGAUGAGCCUAGGUCGGAUUAGCUAGUUGGUGGGGUAAAGGCCUACCAAGGCGACGAUCCGUAACUGGUCUUAGAGGAUGAUCAGUCACACUGGAAGUGAGACACGGUCCAGACUCCUACGGGAGGCAGCAGUGGGGAAUAUUGGACGAUGGGCGAAAGCCUGAUCCAGCCAUGCCGCGUGUGUGAAGAAGGUCUUCGGAUUGUAAAGCACUUUAAGUUGGGAGGAAGGGCAGUAAGUUAAUACCUUGCUGUUUUGACGUUACCAACAGAAUAAGCACCGGCUAACUUCGUG
This 484-nucleotide ribosomal RNA is filed under the name uncultured bacterium. RNAcentral's name for it is "partial 16S ribosomal RNA". It matches the Rfam family "Bacterial small subunit ribosomal RNA", at positions 30 to 507 of the family's 1533-position model. The record is from RNAcentral.